This is a long non-coding RNA of Cebus imitator (Panamanian white-faced capuchin), 738 nucleotides long. RefSeq lists it as uncharacterized. The transcript is spliced from 6 exons. The record is from RefSeq and is a predicted model, not a curated record. Lineage: Eukaryota; Metazoa; Chordata; Mammalia; Primates; Cebidae.
GGUGUGACUCUUCCCUAGCUAGAGGACUCUUCUUUGGUGGGAAGGAUAGCAUCUCCUGAGAACCCCUGCUGUAUGAGCAGGCUAACAUAAAUGGUGAAUGAGGAACACAGAGUGGUUUUCCAGAUGGGAAUCACAUUGCUCUCUGUCCCUGAGAUCUUUCUGGAGGCAGGGCUACUCAGUCCCUCUUUGGCAGAUUGAUAUUGGAAAAGCAGUUUCCCAUUGAAUCUCAAAUGAAGAGAGAGUGAAGAUGAAAAGGAAGUAGGAUUCACAAGCCCUUGACCCUCAUACUAGACCCAUUACCACCAACAAUACCUUGCACUGGGAUUUCAUCUGCACCAUCAGCUUCUUCAAAGAGAGAGAGGUUGUUGACUCUUCAUGCGGAUGUCUGAGCUCAUAUCAGGUCUGAAGAAGGCAGAUUCUGAGGAUUUGAGUCAUGAUGGCUGCCAAAGCUUCUACUCCUGAUUUAAAGGGCAACAAUCCUAGGAGACCAGCAGCACUUACAUCCCUGGUAGGAUAUGACACCUGUGUAUGGUCCAGAAGUGACAAAAGAUAAUUAUCAAGAUGGCAGUCCUUAUAACCAGAUGCUUAUCAACAUUCUUCACUACAUUCUGAAGAUGAAUUUCUACAAGGGAAAUUGUUGAUGGGCUUGAUGAAAACCUCAUACUGUCUGCUGUUCAGGACACUGGAGCGAGAGAGACCAGAGAUUUCUCUGCAUCUUGGUGCCAGACCCAACCAGUG